Paramuricea clavata is the source of this 285-nucleotide non-coding RNA. The record is from the annotation of a GenBank genome assembly. NCBI's taxonomy places the organism in Eukaryota, Metazoa, Cnidaria, Anthozoa, Malacalcyonacea, Plexauridae.
AAAACACUCCUACUCGUGUUUUAAAUACUGACUUAUUUUGCGUGUUUAUUUCAUCUUUAAAUACUUUACAUGCAAGGCAUCGACUAUUUCGCUGACCUCAGAAUGACAUUUCGUCAAAACUUUUUUCUACAAAAUUGGUUUAGAAACGAAUUUGUAGUAGGGUUAGGUUAGGUUUAGGAUAAGGGUUAGGGUCAGAGUUGGUGUUUGGAGUAGAGUUAGUGUUAGUAAAACCGUUGCUUUGUUACGUUUUGUCACUCUGAGGCCAGCGAAAUAAUCUCUUCCUAC